AUUGAACGCUAGCGGGAUGCUUUACACAUGCAAGUCGAACGGCAGCGCGGACUUCGGUCUGGCGGCGAGUGGCGAACGGGUGAGUAAUGUAUCGGAACGUGCCCAGUAGCGGGGGAUAACUACGCGAAAGCGUAGCUAAUACCGCAUACGCCCUACGGGGGAAAGCAGGGGAUCGUAAGACCUUGCACUAUUGGAGCGGCCGAUAUGGGAUUAGCUAGUUGGUGAGGUAACGGCUCACCAAGGCGACGAUCCGUAGCUGGUUUGAGAGGACGACCAGCCACACUGGGACUGAGACACGGCCCAGACUCCUACGGGAGGCAGCAGUGGGGAAUUUUGGACAAUGGGGGCAACCCUGAUCCAGCCAUCCCGCGUGUGCGAUGAAGGCCUUCGGGUUGUAAAGCACUUUUGGCAGGAAAGAAACGUCGCGGGCUAAUACCCCGUGGAACUGACGGUACCUGCAGAAUAAGCACCGGCUAACUACGUG
This 484-nucleotide ribosomal RNA is filed under the name uncultured bacterium. RNAcentral describes it as "partial 16S ribosomal RNA". It matches the Rfam family "Bacterial small subunit ribosomal RNA", at positions 30 to 507 of the family's 1533-position model. The record is from RNAcentral.